This 427-nucleotide ribosomal RNA is filed under the name uncultured bacterium. Its description in RNAcentral is "partial 16S ribosomal RNA". It matches the Rfam family "Bacterial small subunit ribosomal RNA", at positions 354 to 796 of the family's 1533-position model. The record is from RNAcentral.
GUGGGGAAUAUUGCACAAUGGGCGAAAGCCUGAUGCAGCAACGCCGCGUGAAGGAUGAAGGCCUUUGGGUCGUAAACUUCUGUCCUUGGGGAAGAAAAAAAUGACGGUACCCCUGGAGGAAGUCCCGGCUAACUACGUGCCAGCAGCCGCGGUAAUACGUAGGGGGCGAGCGUUAUCCGGAAUUAUUGGGCGUAAAGAGUACGUAGGUGGUUUUUUAAGCGCAGGGUUUAAGGCGAUGGCUCAACUGUCGUUCGCCCUGUGAACUGGAAGACUUGAGUACAGGAGAGGAAAGCGGAAUUCCUAGUGUAGCGGUGAAAUGCAUAGAUAUUAGGAGGAACACCAGUGGCGAAGGCGGCUUUCUGGACUGUAACUGACACUGAGGUACGAAAGCGUGGGGAGCAAACAGGAUUAGAAACCCGAGUAGUCC